Molecule: transfer RNA, 72 nt
Organism: Ipomoea nil (Japanese morning glory)
Lineage: Eukaryota; Viridiplantae; Streptophyta; Magnoliopsida; Solanales; Convolvulaceae
Rfam family: tRNA
About the family: Transfer RNA (tRNA) molecules are approximately 80 nucleotides in length. Their secondary structure includes four short double-helical elements and three loops (D, anti-codon, and T loops).
Source: Rfam
GCGUUUGUAUUCCAACGGUUAGGAUAAUUGCCUUCCAAGCAAUAGACCUAGGUUCGACUCCCGGCAAACGCA